Microcebus murinus (gray mouse lemur) is the source of this 900-nucleotide non-coding RNA. The record is from RefSeq and is a predicted model, not a curated record. Lineage: Eukaryota; Metazoa; Chordata; Mammalia; Primates; Cheirogaleidae.
CUGGAAGCCUGGCUGGCUGUGAGACGGUUUCUGUCGCCGCAGCCUGUGUGUACCUUGUGCUGCACGAAAGAGCAGAUCUCUAAGGCACAGGUGUGAGACCCAGGCUUCACCAGUCAGACCCACUUGUGUGAAACUUCCAUUUGGACAUUAGAGAAAGGAUGAACUGUAUGGAUCCAUUUUGCUAGUGCACGUGGAAGCAGAGCCAUUCGGCUUUUGAAGGUUCCUACCACCCAGCACGGGGCCUUGCACACAGUAGGUGCUUGCUGCAUGUGUGCUGCAUGAAUGAAGGAAUCGAAUACACCUGUGCCAGAGGACUUGGCCCUCUGUGGGAUUUCGGGGCUCCCUCUGAGGAAUGAGCCUGCGGUGCUGCUGACCAAGUGCUUACAAGGCCAUGGGCAGUUCCAGGAACUGGCAUCAGCAGGUGGAUUUAAGUGCCAAAGCUGCCAUCGGAUCUCCACGACGAGGUCAACAGAGCACCACGGAAGCACUCCAAUGGGAGCGCGAGAGUGCUAUUCCCCAAAAUUAGACAUACCUGGUUGGCAUUUCUACAGAAGACCUCAACUCACUUGGGAAAUGGCUUUGGACAUGAGACUUUCCAGAAGGGAAAGCUUUUCCUUGGCAGAGACGUGACUCUAAUUGCAGGGACAGCUUGUCACCAUUGGUGGUUUUUUUCAGGACUCUGUAGUGGCAGCCAGAUGUCCCAUCCAUAGGUGGAUUUUUUUUUCUGGCCUGCUUUUAUCAACAGACCUCAGGGCAACCAAGUGUCCAGAUGGCCAGAUUGCAAGACUUUUUGAUGAUAAUGUCUCCUGGUUGGGACACGACCGAAACACGUUUCUAAAUAGGAUACAGAGACCCUCAGGAAAAGCUGACCCCAGAGACAUGGAACAUGUCUCUUGGCUG